Molecule: ribosomal RNA, 23 nt
Filed under: Arion ater
Lineage: Eukaryota; Metazoa; Mollusca; Gastropoda; Stylommatophora; Arionidae
Also listed under: 8 other names
Description: partial 5.8S ribosomal RNA
Source: RNAcentral
UAACUUUGUGCGGUGGAUCACUC